CACAUAGGUCUGGUCCCAGCCUUAAAAUCAACUAUUACUUAAUUUACACAUGCAAGUCUCCGCACCCCCGUGAAAAUGCCCUUACAACCCAUCAGGAAUGAGGAGCUGGUAUCAGGCACAAAAUUUGCCCAAGACACCUAGCCACGCCACACCCACAAGGGUUCUCAGCAGUGAUAAAAAUUGUUUAUGAGCGCUAGCUUGACUCAGUUAAAGUAAAGAGGGCCGGCAAAUCUGGUGCCAGCCGCCGCGGUUACACCAUUAGGCUCAAAUUGAUUUUGUUCGGCGUAAAAUGUGAUUAAAACCUUUUUACAUUAGAGUUAAACUUAAACUAGGCUGUCGCAAGCUUGUAGUUGGGAAAACCAGAAACGAAAGUUACUCUAACUAACCCCAUUUGAACUCACGAAAACUUGAUCACAAACUAAGAUUAGAUACCUUACUAUGCAAGUCACAAACUUUUAUUUACACCCAAAUCGCCAGGGUAUUACGAGCAAAGCUUAAAACCCAAGGGACUUGACGGUACCCCAUAUCCACCUAGAGGAGCCUGUCCUAUAAUUGAUAACCCCCACUAAACCUCACCACCAUUAGCUUAUUCAGCCUGUAUACUUCCGUCGUCAGCUUACCCCGUGAGCGAAAUAAAGUCAGCAUAACGCCUUUCCACCAAUACGUCAGGUCAAGGUGCAGCAAACAUGGUGGGAAGAGAUUGGCUACACUUUCUAAAUUAGAAUACACGAAAGACUAACAUGAAAACCAAGUCAGAAGGUGGAUUUAGUAGUAAAAAGAAAAUAGAGUGUUCUUUUUAAUUUGGCCCUGGGGUGUGUACACACCGCCCGUCACCCUCUUCAUAGCGUAAACUUAGUAUUUAACACUCCCUAGCACUGAAGAAGAGGUAAGUCGUAACAUGGUAAGUAUACCGGAAGGUGUUCUUGGAA
This 929-nucleotide non-coding RNA is filed under the name Lynchius flavomaculatus (yellow-spotted Andes frog). RNAcentral's name for it is "12S ribosomal RNA". It matches the Rfam family "Bacterial small subunit ribosomal RNA". Lineage: Eukaryota; Metazoa; Chordata; Amphibia; Anura; Strabomantidae. The record is from RNAcentral.